RNAcentral lists this ribosomal RNA (577 nucleotides) under uncultured cyanobacterium. RNAcentral describes it as "bacterial SSU rRNA". It matches the Rfam family "Bacterial small subunit ribosomal RNA", at positions 72 to 690 of the family's 1533-position model. Lineage: Bacteria; Bacillati; Cyanobacteriota. The record is from RNAcentral.
AGUCUUCGGACUUUAGUGGCGGACGGGUGAGUUACGCGUGAGAAUCUGGCUUUAGGUCGGGGACAACAGUUGGAAACGACUGCUAAUACCGGAUAUGCCGAGAGGUGAAAGAUUAAUUGCCUGAAGAAGAGCUCGCGUCUGAUUAGCUAGUUGGUGGGGUAAGAGCUUACCAAGGCGACGAUCAGUAUCUGGUCGGAGAGGACUAUCAGCCACACUGGGACUGAGACACGGCCCAGACUCCUACGGGAGGCAGCAGUGGGGAAUUUUCCGCAAUGGGCGAAAGCCUGACGGAGCAAUACCGCGUGAGGGAGGAAGGCUCUUGGGUUGUAGACCUCUUUUCUUAGGGAAGAAAAAAAUGACGGUACCUAAGGAAUCAGCAUCGGCUAACUCCGUGCCAGCAGCCGCGGUAAUACGGAGGAUGCAAGCGUUAUCCGGAAUGAUUGGGCGUAAAGCGUCCGCAGGUGGCAUUUCAAGUCUGCGGUCAAAGGUCGAGGCUCAACCUCGAACAGGCCGUGGAAACUGAAAAGCUAUAGUGUGGUAUGGGCAGAGGGAAUUCCCAGUGUAGCGGUGAAAUGCG